Molecule: long non-coding RNA, 527 nt
Organism: Struthio camelus australis
Lineage: Eukaryota; Metazoa; Chordata; Aves; Struthioniformes; Struthionidae
Source: Ensembl
GUUUGCAGUCAAUGCUCCAAGUUUUCCUGCAUCAUGUACUAUUGUAGGGCAAAUAGGGGACCAAAGCCAUUGAUGAUUUUAGAACAACAUGAGGAAAUAAUGUUACUGACAGCAAUAUUAUUAUAGGCUAUGUUAUACUAGUAAAUAAGACAAAGUCUAUCUUCAGGCCCUGCAAGUGACACGGUACAUUUCCUUAUACAGGUAAGCUGACUUUCUGCAUCCGUCUGGCCUUCCUGUCCAUUGGUACAAUCUCUGUCGCGUGCUACCCCUCGCAGCAUGCUGGGGAUACUGCUUGUUGGCUAGGAUACAGACUGCCGAGUCAUGCCAGACAGCAAUGCGCUCUUUUGCACGUUUUUAUUAAUAAUUGUUCUUCCAAAGUCAAGCAAAACCAACGGAAUUCCAAGUUAGUAAAGGAAGAAGAAGCACUACAAAUGAGACUACAUCAGGUACUCGCACAGUGCUCUGUAGGAAGAUCUGAAGCAAGUGAGCGCAGCGGAGGGCCUGCCGAUUUGGGGCUUCUUGGGUAA